UGUCGUUGCCUAACAAGCAGUGUGACUCGUGAACUUGUUCUUCUACUGAGGGUUGGUUUGAGGUGUCUCACACCCCAACCUCCCUUUUUUGUUGGGAGGUGAGCACCACUWUGGUCUCAUCCCCAGCUAAACAAAAACCCCGGCGCGGAAUGCGUCAAGGAACAAAAUUUUCAGUGCGCUCAUGCAGGCUCGGAUACGAUGCUUGUGUGGGUGGCGUUGCAAAACAUUAAGUCUUAAAUGACUCUCGGCAACGGAUAUCUCGGCUCUUGCAUCGAUGAAGAACGUAGCGAAAUGCGAUACUUGGUGUGAAUUGCAGAAUCCCGUGAACCAUCGAGUCUUUGAACGCAAGUUGCGCCUGAAGCCGUUAGGCUGAGGGCACGCCUGCCUGGGUGUCACACAUCGUUGCCCCAAUGCCUAAUUAGGUAUUGUGCAGGGCGAAUGUUGGCUUCCCGUGAGCUAUGCCUUGCGGUUAGUUUAAAAUCAGGUCCAUGGUGGAGUGCACUAUGAUAGAUGGUGGUUGAGUAAAAGCUCGAGGCCAAUCAUGUGUGUUUCUCUGUCAUGUUUGGACCGUUUGACCCAUGCGUGUCUUCUGGACACCCAAAACGAGACCUCAGGUCAGGC
RNAcentral lists this ribosomal RNA (621 nucleotides) under Gompholobium minus. Its description in RNAcentral is "eukaryotic LSU rRNA". The stretch from base 240 to 395 matches the Rfam family "5.8S ribosomal RNA". The record is from RNAcentral. Lineage: Eukaryota; Viridiplantae; Streptophyta; Magnoliopsida; Fabales; Fabaceae.